This 207-nucleotide ribosomal RNA is filed under the name uncultured bacterium. Its description in RNAcentral is "partial 16S ribosomal RNA". It matches the Rfam family "Bacterial small subunit ribosomal RNA", at positions 568 to 774 of the family's 1533-position model. The record is from RNAcentral.
CGCGUAGGCGGACCAUCAAGUCGGAUGUGAAAACUGGCGGCUCAACUGCCAGCCUGCAUUCGAUACUGUUGGUCUUGAGUACAGUAGGGGAAAGCGGAAUUCCAGGUGUAGCGGUGAAAUGCGUAGAUAUCUGGAAGAACACCAGUAGCGAAGGCGGCUUUCUGGACUGAUACUGACGCUGAAGCGCGAAGGCCAGGGGAGCAAACA